Molecule: ribosomal RNA, 89 nt
Filed under: uncultured bacterium
Lineage: Bacteria
Description: partial 16S ribosomal RNA
Source: RNAcentral
UCAUAAAAGCCGGCGGUACCCGAAGUUAGCGUGCCAACCCUGCGCAAGCGGGGAAGCAGUUGCCGAAGGUAUGGCUGGUGAUUGGGAUG